UAUCAAUCAUUUAUUUUCGAGUGA
RNAcentral lists this non-coding RNA (24 nucleotides) under Arabidopsis thaliana (thale cress). Lineage: Eukaryota; Viridiplantae; Streptophyta; Magnoliopsida; Brassicales; Brassicaceae. The record is from RNAcentral.